AUACGGAGGAUCCGAGCGUUAUCCGGAUUUAUUGGGUUUAAAGGGAGCGUAGGUGGAUUGUUAAGUCAGUUGUGAAAGUUUGCGGCUCAACCGUAAAAUUGCAGUUGAAACUGGCAGUCUUGAGUACAGUAGAGGUGGGCGGAAUUCGUGGUGUAGCGGUGAAAUGCUUAGAUAUCACGAAGAACUCCGAUUGCGAAGGCAGCUCACUAGACUGUUACUGACACUGAUGCUCGAAAGUGUGGCUAUCAAACAGGAUUAGAUACCCUGGUAGUCCACACAGUAAACGAUGAAUACUCGCUGUUUGCGAUAUACAGUAAGCGGCCAAGCGAAAGCAUUAAGUAUUCCACCUGGGGAGUACGCCGGCAACGGUGAAACUUAAAGGAAUUGACGGGG
Molecule: ribosomal RNA, 393 nt
Filed under: uncultured bacterium
Lineage: Bacteria
Description: partial 16S ribosomal RNA
Rfam family: Bacterial small subunit ribosomal RNA
Source: RNAcentral